Molecule: long non-coding RNA, 329 nt
Filed under: Homo sapiens (human)
Lineage: Eukaryota; Metazoa; Chordata; Mammalia; Primates; Hominidae
Description: LNC_000345
Source: RNAcentral
AGCUGUAUAAUCCUAAUUGAAAGGCAGUGUAAGAAUCAUGAGCAAUCCUUAUUUGCAGAGAAAUAGGGCCAUUACCGUAUUAGAAGCAUUUUAGGUUGUUGUUAUAGUUUCACAUACAGAAGUUUAGGUGCUGAAAAAUUAUUCUUUUUUAGAAAUUUCUUUUUUCAAUUGUUUGCUGUUCAGAGUUUCUCAGAGGUCCCCAGAUGCAUGUAUAUCAGUUAGAAGUAGGACAGGUAUGGUGGCUAACACCUGUAAUCCCAAAGUGCUGGGGUUAUGGGCGUGAGCCACCACACCCGGCCCUACAUAUAUAAUUAAAAAAAUUAUCUUGC